GUUAAGCGACUAAGCGUACACGGUGGAUGCCCUGGCAGUCAGAGGCGAUGAAGGACGUGCUAAUCUGCGAUAAGCGUCGGUAAGGUGAUAUGAACCGUUAUAACCGGCGAUUUCCGAAUGGGGAAACCCAGUGUGAUUCGUCACACUAUCAUUAACUGAAUCCAUAGGUUAAUGAGGCGAACCGGGGGAACUGAAACAUCUAAGUACCCCGAGGAAAAGAAAUCAACCGAGAUUCCCCCAGUAGCGGCGAGCGAACGGGGAGGAGCCCAGAGCCUGAAUCAGUGUGUGUGUUAGUGGAAGCGUCUGGAAAGGCGCGCGAUACAGGGUGACAGCCCCGUACACAAAAAUGCACAUACUGUGAGCUCGAUGAGUAGGGCGGGACACGUGGUAUCCUGUCUGAAUAUGGGGGGACCAUCCUCCAAGGCUAAAUACUCCUGACUGACCGAUAGUGAACCAGUACCGUGAGGGAAAGGCGAAAAGAACCCCGGCGAGGGGAGUGAAAAAGAACCUGAAACCGUGUACGUACAAGCAGUGGGAGCCUCUUUAUGGGGUGACUGCGUACCUUUUGUAUAAUGGGUCAGCGACUUAUAUUCUGUAGCAAGGUUAACCGAAUAGGGGAGCCGAAGGGAAACCGAGUCUUAACUGGGCGUUAAGUUGCAGGGUAUAGACCCGAAACCCGGUGAUCUAGCCAUGGGCAGGUUGAAGGUUGGGUAACACUAACUGGAGGACCGAACCGACUAAUGUUGAAAAAUUAGCGGAUGACUUGUGGCUGGGGGUGAAAGGCCAAUCAAACCGGGAGAUAGCUGGUUCUCCCCGAAAGCUAUUUAGGUAGCGCCUCGUGAAUUCAUCUCCGGGGGUAGAGCACUGUUUCGGCAAGGGGGUCAUCCCGACUUACCAACCCGAUGCAAACUGCGAAUACCGGAGAAUGUUAUCACGGGAGACACACGGCGGGUGCUAACGUCCGUCGUGAAGAGGGAAACAACCCAGACCGCCAGCUAAGGUCCCAAAGUCAUGGUUAAGUGGGAAACGAUGUGGGAAGGCCCAGACAGCCAGGAUGUUGGCUUAGAAGCAGCCAUCAUUUAAAGAAAGCGUAAUAGCUCACUGGUCGAGUCGGCCUGCGCGGAAGAUGUAACGGGGCUAAACCAUGCACCGAAGCUGCGGCAGCGACACUGUGUGUUGUUGGGUAGGGGAGCGUUCUGUAAGCCUGUGAAGGUGUGCUGUGAGGCAUGCUGGAGGUAUCAGAAGUGCGAAUGCUGACAUAAGUAACGAUAAAGCGGGUGAAAAGCCCGCUCGCCGGAAGACCAAGGGUUCCUGUCCAACGUUAAUCGGGGCAGGGUGAGUCGACCCCUAAGGCGAGGCCGAAAGGCGUAGUCGAUGGGAAACAGGUUAAUAUUCCUGUACUUGGUGUUACUGCGAAGGGGGGACGGAGAAGGCUAUGUUGGCCGGGCGACGGUUGUCCCGGUUUAAGCGUGUAGGCUGGUUUUCCAGGCAAAUCCGGAAAAUCAAGGCUGAGGCGUGAUGACGAGGCACUACGGUGCUGAAGUGACAAAUGCCCUGCUUCCAGGAAAAGCCUCUAAGCAUCAGGUAACAACAAAUCGUACCCCAAACCGACACAGGUGGUCAGGUAGAGAAUACCAAGGCGCUUGAGAGAACUCGGGUGAAGGAACUAGGCAAAAUGGUGCCGUAACUUCGGGAGAAGGCACGCUGAUAUGUAGGUGAAGCGACUUGCUCGUGGAGCUGAAAUCAGUCGAAGAUACCAGCUGGCUGCAACUGUUUAUUAAAAACACAGCACUGUGCAAACACGAAAGUGGACGUAUACGGUGUGACGCCUGCCCGGUGCCGGAAGGUUAAUUGAUGGGGUUAGCGGUAACGCGAAGCUCUUGAUCGAAGCCCCGGUAAACGGCGGCCGUAACUAUAACGGUCCUAAGGUAGCGAAAUUCCUUGUCGGGUAAGUUCCGACCUGCACGAAUGGCGUAAUGAUGGCCAGGCUGUCUCCACCCGAGACUCAGUGAAAUUGAACUCGCUGUGAAGAUGCAGUGUACCCGCGGCAAGACGGAAAGACCCCGUGAACCUUUACUAUAGCUUGACACUGAACAUUGAGCCUUGAUGUGUAGGAUAGGUGGGAGGCUUAGAAGUGUGGACGCCAGUCUGCAUGGAGCCGACCUUGAAAUACCACCCUUUAAUGUUUGAUGUUCUAACGUUGGCCCCUUAUCGGGGUUGCGGACAGUGUCUGGUGGGUAGUUUGACUGGGGCGGUCUCCUCCUAAAGAGUAACGGAGGAGCACGAAGGUUGGCUAAUCCUGGUCGGACAUCAGGAGGUUAGUGCAAUGGCAUAAGCCAGCUUGACUGCGAGCGUGACGGCGCGAGCAGGUGCGAAAGCAGGUCAUAGUGAUCCGGUGGUUCUGAAUGGAAGGGCCAUCGCUCAACGGAUAAAAGGUACUCCGGGGAUAACAGGCUGAUACCGCCCAAGAGUUCAUAUCGACGGCGGUGUUUGGCACCUCGAUGUCGGCUCAUCACAUCCUGGGGCUGAAGUAGGUCCCAAGGGUAUGGCUGUUCGCCAUUUAAAGUGGUACGCGAGCUGGGUUUAGAACGUCGUGAGACAGUUCGGUCCCUAUCUGCCGUGGGCGCUGGAGAACUGAGGGGGGCUGCUCCUAGUACGAGAGGACCGGAGUGGACGCAUCACUGGUGUUCGGGUUGUCAUGCCAAUGGCACUGCCCGGUAGCUAAAUGCGGAAGAGAUAAGUGCUGAAAGCAUCUAAGCACGAAACUUGCCCCGAGAUGAGUUCUCCCUGACCCUUUAAGGGUCCUGAAGGAACGUUGAAGACGACGACGUUGAUAGGCCGGGUGUGUAAGCGCAGCGAUGCGUUGAGCUAACCGGUACUAAUGAACCGUGAGGCUUAACC
Molecule: ribosomal RNA, 2901 nt
Filed under: Escherichia fergusonii
Lineage: Bacteria; Pseudomonadati; Pseudomonadota; Gammaproteobacteria; Enterobacterales; Enterobacteriaceae
Description: Bacterial large subunit ribosomal RNA
Rfam family: Bacterial large subunit ribosomal RNA
Source: RNAcentral